Small nucleolar RNA from Ornithorhynchus anatinus (platypus), 138 nucleotides. The record is from RefSeq and is a predicted model, not a curated record. NCBI's taxonomy places the organism in Eukaryota, Metazoa, Chordata, Mammalia, Monotremata, Ornithorhynchidae.
CCCCUCUCAGGAUGGUACCUGGAGAGUUUCCAGUACUCUACCAGUACCGACUACGGGAGGGAGAGUCAAGCAGGGGCAUACCCAUUUCAUUCCUAGCUUGGCCAGUGGCUAGCAAGUGGAAGGCGAUCCGCUACAGGU